Molecule: ribosomal RNA, 447 nt
Filed under: uncultured bacterium
Lineage: Bacteria
Description: bacterial SSU rRNA
Rfam family: Bacterial small subunit ribosomal RNA
Source: RNAcentral
CUCCAGACUCCUACGGGAGGCAGCAGUGGGGAAUAUUGCACAAUGGGGGAAACCCUGAUGCAGCGACGCCGCGUGAGUGAAGAAGUAUUUCGGUAUGUAAAGCUCUAUCAGCAGGGAAGAAAAUGACGGUACCUGACUAAGAAGCCCCGGCUAACUACGUGCCAGUAGCCGCGGUAAUACGUAGGGGGCAAGCGUUAUCCGGAUUUACUGGGUGUAAAGGGAGCGUAGACGGCAUGGCAAGUCAGAUGUGAAAGCCCGGGGCUCAACCCCGGGACUGCAUUUGAAACUGUCAGGCUGGAGUGCAGGAGAGGUAAGUGGAAUUCCUAGUGUAGCGGUGAAAUGCGUAGAUAUUAGGAGGAACACCAGUGGCGAAGGCGGCCUGCUGGACGAUGACUGACGUUGAGGCUCGAAAGCGUGGGGAGCAAACAGGAUUAGAUACCCUAGUAU